CUAUCUAGUGGCAUACGGGUGAGUAAUACAUGGGAAUCUACCUUGCAGUACGGGAUAACUACUGGAAACAGUAGCUAAUACCGUAUAUCGCCGAGAGGUGAAAGAUUUAUCGCUGCAAGAUGAGCCCAUGCAAGAUUAGCUUGUUGGUGGGGUAAUGGCCUACCAAGGCAACGAUCUUUAGCUGGUUUGAGAGGAUGAUCAGCCACACUGGGACUGAGACACGGCCCAGACUCC
RNAcentral lists this ribosomal RNA (234 nucleotides) under uncultured bacterium. RNAcentral's name for it is "partial 16S ribosomal RNA". It matches the Rfam family "Bacterial small subunit ribosomal RNA", at positions 88 to 339 of the family's 1533-position model. The record is from RNAcentral.